CCGAGUUUACAACUCCCAAACCCAAUGUGAACGUUACCAAACUGUUGCCUCGGCGGGAUCUCUGCCCCGGGUGCGUCGCAGCCCCGGACCAAGGCGCCCGCCGGAGGACCAACCAAAACUCUUAUUGUAUACCCCCUCGCGGGUUUUUUACUAUCUGAGCCAUCUCGGCGCCCCUCGUGGGCGUUUCGAAAAUGAAUCAAAACUUUCAACAACGGAUCUCUUGGUUCUGGCAUCGAUGAAGAACGCAGCGAAAUGCGAUAAGUAAUGUGAAUUGCAGAAUUCAGUGAAUCAUCGAAUCUUUGAACGCACAUUGCGCCCGCCAGUAUUCUGGCGGGCAUGCCUGUCCGAGCGUCAUUUCAACCCUCGAACCCCUCCGGGGGGUCGGCGUUGGGGAUCGGCCCUUUACGGGGCCGGCCCCGAAAUACAGUGGCGGUCUCGCCGCAGCCUCUCCUGCGCAGUAGUUUGCACACUCGCAUCGGGAGCGCGGCGCGUCCACAGCCGUUAAACACCCCAAACUUCUGAAAUGUUGACCUCGGAUCAGGUAGGAAUACCCGCUGAACUUAAGCAUAUCAAA
Molecule: ribosomal RNA, 574 nt
Filed under: Trichoderma virens
Lineage: Eukaryota; Fungi; Ascomycota; Sordariomycetes; Hypocreales; Hypocreaceae
Description: eukaryotic LSU rRNA
Rfam family: 5.8S ribosomal RNA (bases 201-354)
Source: RNAcentral